Long non-coding RNA from Leopardus geoffroyi (Geoffroy's cat), 1073 nucleotides. RefSeq lists it as uncharacterized. Lineage: Eukaryota; Metazoa; Chordata; Mammalia; Carnivora; Felidae. The record is from RefSeq and is a predicted model, not a curated record. The transcript has 3 exons.
ACGGAUGCACGCUCCACCUCCGAUUCAAAGUGUUGCUAAUGGCUACUGUGGGUUGGGUUUAGGACUUUCUAUUGGGCUUUAUGCAGAAAUUAGCCCACACAUGGCUGUGAUCCUCCUUGAUUUCAUUUUUCAGGAAUUGUAACAAGGGUCUGAAUUGAACUGCUCUAGUGGAGACCAGAUAAUAAAACUUUAUUGCACGACUUGAAGAGGCCUUGGAUAGAGUGAUGCUCAUUGUUUUUAUAUUUGGGAAGACUCACUGUGGUAAAUAUUGUGGCUGCCCCCAGUAAUUUAUAGCUGUCAUACCACUGUAAUUAAAAUCUCAACAGAUUUUCUUAAGGACCUCGAAAAAUUGACUCUAAGAUGUAUAUGAUGGAGUAGAAGUGCAAGAAGACCCAAAACAAUUCUGAAUAAGUAAAACAGAAGUGUGCUGCAAAGGACCAGGAUAUAUAAAGCAUAUGUGGUAAUUAAAAGAGCACCCAAGAAUGCUGGUUUGAGACUGGACAGGCUGAGUGAGAACACCUAACGUCAUGCAAAAACACAUCCAUCUUCUCCCCAGAAUCUCAGAGAAGAAUCCAACCUGGACAAAUGGCAAAACUUCAAGACAAGGAAGCGUGAUCGGGAAAGCAUUGAAGACCCAGCUUGCUCUUGAUGCCUGGAUAUGCUGACUCUCCCAUGUUCUCAUCCCUUCUCAGCAUCUUUUUUCCCCAUGUCUACGUGUCUUCUUUUCAAACCUCCCACUGCUUCUACCGUACCUGCAUCUAGCAAGUCUCCUAGGGCUUACAGCCUUGAGGUUCUUCACAUCAGGGAAAGGAAAGCCAUGGAGGACUGGAGAUGAACAGAUGGUUGCUGGUGGCCUCUUCCUGGGUUCAUUCACUCAGUCAUUCAUUUAUCCAGUGGUUCAUUCGUUCAUUCAUUCAUUCAUCAAAUUGUUCUUAUGUGUCAGGCUUUGGGUUAAGCAAUGGGUAUGCAGCAAAGAACCAAAUAGACAUAAUUAUUUAAUAGAACUCAUGGAAUUUACUAUCUACAUUUAUUGAGGCCUGCUGACUAUCAAUACUAAUAAAAAGCAAAACUGA